Molecule: ribosomal RNA, 658 nt
Filed under: Aulactinia stella
Lineage: Eukaryota; Metazoa; Cnidaria; Anthozoa; Actiniaria; Actiniidae
Description: eukaryotic LSU rRNA
Rfam family: 5.8S ribosomal RNA (bases 199-352)
Source: RNAcentral
UUUUUUUUUAACCACCGCGAACUCGUAAGAAGGAUUGGGGGUCGCCCCGUCGAGGGCGUCAAACGGUGAGAGCACGGCGAGAGCCUUCGAUUCUCACGGCCCCCAACGUUAUUUUUUUAAUCCAUCAAAACACACAACUGUGCCAACAGAAAAACACCUGAGUCAGGCGACUGGCUUAAAAAAAAAUUAAAAGUUCAUAACUUUUAACGGUGGAUCUCUUGGCUCGUGCAUCGAUGAAAAACGCAGCCAGGUGCGAUAAUUAGUGUGAAUUGCAAAAUUCAGUGAAUCAUCGAAUCUUUGAACGCAAAUGGCGCUCUUGGGUUUUCCCAGGAGCACGUCUGUCUGAGUGUCGGUUUCAAAAAAUACCAACGCAUGCGUAAAUGCCUGCGGUCUUGAGGCGUCGCGGCCCCCGCUUCCUUCGUUGCGAUCGGCGGGCCUCGUCCCUUGAAGUGCAGCACGACCGAACGGCGCGACUCCGUGUCGCCGCAUUCGGGGAGGCCAAAAGCAAAAACUUUGCCCUUCCUCGAGGUGGCUCGGAUCGCAACCCGCAUCGAGUCGUUGUCUGUCGUGUUAGCGAUAACACGACGACAAACCACAUUCUUGACCUCAGAUCAGGCGAGACUACCCGCUGAAUUUAAGCAUAUUAAUAAGCGGAGGA